RNAcentral lists this ribosomal RNA (394 nucleotides) under uncultured bacterium. Its description in RNAcentral is "bacterial SSU rRNA". It matches the Rfam family "Bacterial small subunit ribosomal RNA", at positions 954 to 1351 of the family's 1533-position model. The record is from RNAcentral.
GCUAAACGCGAAGAACCUUACCCACCUUUGACACGGCAGGAAUCCUUCAGAGAUGGAGGAGUGCUCGAAAGAGAACCUGCACACAGGUGCUGCAUGGCUGUCGUCAGCUCGUGUCGUGAGAUGUUGGGUUAAGUCCCGCAACGAGCGCAACCCUUGCCAUCAGUUGCUACGAAAGGGCACUCUGAUGGGACUGCCGGUGACAAACCGGAGGAAGGUGGGGAUGACGUCAAGUCCUCAUGGCCCUUAUAGGUGGGGCUACACACGUCAUACAAUGGCCGGUACAAAGGGCAGCGAAGCCGCGAGGUGAAGCCAAUCCCAUAAAAGCCGGUCGUAGUCCGGAUCGCAGUCUGCAACUCGACUGCGCGAAGUCGGAAUCGCCAGUAAUCGUGGAUCA